This 74-nucleotide transfer RNA is filed under the name Trichonephila inaurata madagascariensis. It matches the Rfam family "tRNA". From Rfam's summary of the family: Transfer RNA (tRNA) molecules are approximately 80 nucleotides in length. Their secondary structure includes four short double-helical elements and three loops (D, anti-codon, and T loops). The record is from Rfam by way of RNAcentral. Lineage: Eukaryota; Metazoa; Arthropoda; Arachnida; Araneae; Nephilidae.
GCCCGGCUAGCUCAAUCAGUAGAGCACAAAGACUCUUAAUUUCGGGGUCGUGGGUUCAAGUCCCACGUUGGGCC